AGGACGACGCUGGCGGCGUGCCUAACACAUGCAAGUCGAGCGGGUUGAAGCGAGGGGUAACUCGAGUUUCUACCUAGCGGCGGACGGGUGAGUAACGCGUGGGCAACCUGCCUCAAGGACUGGGAUAACAGCUCGAAAGGGCUGCUAAUACCGGAUAAGCCUAUGGCCUCGCAUGGGGCCAUGAGCAAAGGGGAAACCCGCCUUGAGAUGGGCCCGCGUCCCAUCAGCUAGUUGGUGAGGUGAAGGCUCACCAAGGCGACGACGGGUAGCCGGCCUGAGAGGGUGACCGGCCACACUGGGACUGAGACACGGCCCAGACUCCUACGGGGGGCAGCAGUGGGGAAUCUUGCACAAUGGGCGAAAGCCUGAUGCAGCGACGCCGCGUGAGCGAAGAAGGCCUUCGGGUUGUAAAGCUCUGUCUGGAGGGACGAAGGAAGUGACGGUACCUCCGGAGGAAGCCACGGCUAACUACGUG
RNAcentral lists this ribosomal RNA (475 nucleotides) under uncultured bacterium. Its description in RNAcentral is "bacterial SSU rRNA". It matches the Rfam family "Bacterial small subunit ribosomal RNA", at positions 33 to 507 of the family's 1533-position model. The record is from RNAcentral.